This is a non-coding RNA of Oryza glaberrima (African rice), 154 nucleotides long. Lineage: Eukaryota; Viridiplantae; Streptophyta; Magnoliopsida; Poales; Poaceae. The record is from Rfam.
AAUAAGUGUAGUUUUGCACUGUUUAUAUCCAACGUUUGACCGUUUAUUAAAUGAUAAAACAUGAAUAAUACUUUAUGUGUGACUAUUUUUAAAAAAUUUUCAAAUAAGAUGGACGAUCAAACGUUGGACACAGAUUACUAUGGCUACACUUAUU